CUAAAUGACUCUCGGCAACGGAUAUCUCGGCUCUCGCAUCGAUGAAGAACGUAGCGAAAUGCGAUACUUGGUGUGAAUUGCAGAAUCCAGUGAACCAUCGAGUCUUUGAACGCAAGUUGCGCCCGAAGCCUUCGGGCUAAGGGCACGUCUGCCUGGG
This 157-nucleotide ribosomal RNA is filed under the name Fagonia bruguieri. RNAcentral describes it as "5.8 ribosomal RNA". It matches the Rfam family "5.8S ribosomal RNA". Rfam says of the family: 5.8S ribosomal RNA (5.8S rRNA) is a component of the large subunit of the eukaryotic ribosome. It is transcribed by RNA polymerase I as part of the 45S precursor that also contains 18S and 28S rRNA. The record is from RNAcentral. Lineage: Eukaryota; Viridiplantae; Streptophyta; Magnoliopsida; Zygophyllales; Zygophyllaceae.